UGUUCUGUAGCUUAGUUGGUUAAAGUGCCGGUCUAGCGUACACGGAGUCGUGAAUUCGAGUCUCACUAAAACGC
Aedes aegypti (yellow fever mosquito) is the source of this 74-nucleotide non-coding RNA. The record is from Rfam. NCBI's taxonomy places the organism in Eukaryota, Metazoa, Arthropoda, Insecta, Diptera, Culicidae.